AUUCUAAGGUGAGCGAGCGAACUCUCGUUAAGGAACUCGGCAAAAUGACCCCGUAACUUCGGGAGAAGGGGUGCUCUUUAGGGUUAACGCCCAGAAGAGCCGCAGUGAAUAGGCCCAAGCGACUGUUUAUCAAAAACACAGGUCUCUGCUAAACCGUAAGGUGAUGUAUAGGGGCUGACGCCUGCCCGGUGCUGGAAGGUUAAGAGGAGUGGUUAGCUUCUGCGAAGCUACGAAUCGAAGCCCCAGUAAACGGCGGCCGUAACUAUAACGGUCCUAAGGUAGCGAAAUUCCUUGUCGGGGAAGUUCCGACCCGCACGAAAGGCGUAACGAUUUGGGCACUGUCUCAACGAGAGACUCGGUGAAAUCAUAGUACCUGUGAAGAUGCAGGUUACCCGCGACAGGACGGAAAGACCCCGUGGAGCUUUACUGUAGCCUGAUAUUGAAAUUCGGCACAGCUUGUACAGGAUAGGUAGGAGCCUUUGAAACGUGAGCGCUAGCUUACGUGGAGGCGCUGGUGGGAUACUACCCUAGCUGUGUUGGCUUUCUAACCCGCACCACUUAUCGUGGUGGGAGACAGUGUCAGGCGGGCAGUUUGACUGGGGCGGUCGCCUCCUAAAAGGUAACGGAGGCGCUCAAAGGUUCCCUCAGAAUGGUUGGAAAUCAUUCAUAGAGUGUAAAGGCAUAAGGGAGCUUGACUGCGAGACCUACAAGUCGAGCAGGGUCGAAAGACGGACUUAGUGAUCCGGUGGUUCCGCAUGGAAGGGCCAUCGCUCAACGGAUAAAAGCUACCCCGGGGAUAACAGGCUUAUCUCCCCCAAGAGUUCACAUCGACGGGGAGGUUUGGCACCUCGAUGUCGGCUCAUCGCAUCCUGGGGCUGUAGUCGGUCCCAAGGGUUGGGCUGUUCGCCCAUUAAAGCGGUACGCGAGCUGGGUUCAGAACGUCGUGAGACAGUUCGGUCCCUAUCCGUCGUGGGCGUAGGAAAUUUGAGAGGAGCUGUCCUUAGUACGAGAGGACCGGGAUGGACAUACCUCUGGUGUACCAGUUGUCGUGCCAACGGCAUAGCUGGGUAGCUAUGUGUGGACGGGAUAAGUGCUGAAAGCAUCUAAGCAUGAAGCCCCCCUCAAGAUGAGAUUUCCCAACUUCGGUUAUAAGAUCCCUCAAAGAUGAUGAGGUUAAUAGGUUCGAGGUGGAAGCAUGGUGACAUGUGGAGCUGACGAAUACUAAUCGAUCGAAGACUUAAUCAAAA
This 1247-nucleotide ribosomal RNA is filed under the name Streptomyces malaysiensis subsp. malaysiensis. Its description in RNAcentral is "partial 23S ribosomal RNA". It matches the Rfam family "Bacterial large subunit ribosomal RNA", at positions 1678 to 2925 of the family's 2925-position model. Lineage: Bacteria; Bacillati; Actinomycetota; Actinomycetes; Kitasatosporales; Streptomycetaceae. The record is from RNAcentral.